Molecule: ribosomal RNA, 253 nt
Filed under: uncultured bacterium
Lineage: Bacteria
Description: partial 16S ribosomal RNA
Rfam family: Bacterial small subunit ribosomal RNA
Source: RNAcentral
UACGUAGGGUGCGAGCGUUAAUCGGAAUUACUGGGCGUAAAGCGCACGUAGGCGGCUUUGUAAGUUAGAGGUGAAAGCCCGGGGCUCAACUCCGGAAUUGCCUUUAAGACUGCAUCGCUAGAAUUGUGGAGAGGUGAGUGGAAUUCCGAGUGUAGAGGUGAAAUUCGUAGAUAUUCGGAAGAACACCAGUGGCGAAGGCGGCAUCCUGGACCAACACUGACGCUGAGGAGCGAAAGCCAGGGGAGCAAACGGG